CAAUCUGCCCUCCGAUGGGGAAUAACCCCGCGAAAGCGGGGCUAAUUCCGCAUAAAAUUCCCUGGACCUCGGUCUGGGGAUUCAAAGCCGUAAGGCGUCGGAGGAGGAGCCCGCGCCCGAUUAGCUAGUUGGUGAGGUAAUGGCUCACCAAGGCAAUGAUCGGUAGCUGGUCUGAGAGGAUGGCCAGCCACACUGGAACUGAGACACGGUCCAGACUCCUACGGGAGGCAGCAGUGGGGAAUCUUGCGCAAUGGGCGAAAGCCUGACGCAGCGACGCCGCGUGGGGGAUAAAGCUUCUCGGAGUGUAAACCCCUUUCGACUGGGACGAAUGCCUCGCAAGAGGAGUGACGGUACCAGUAGAAGAAGCCCCGGCUAACUACGUGCCAGCAGCCGCGGUAAGACG
RNAcentral lists this ribosomal RNA (403 nucleotides) under uncultured bacterium. RNAcentral describes it as "bacterial SSU rRNA". It matches the Rfam family "Bacterial small subunit ribosomal RNA", at positions 122 to 527 of the family's 1533-position model. The record is from RNAcentral.